RNAcentral lists this ribosomal RNA (347 nucleotides) under uncultured bacterium. RNAcentral describes it as "partial 16S ribosomal RNA". It matches the Rfam family "Bacterial small subunit ribosomal RNA", at positions 338 to 682 of the family's 1533-position model. The record is from RNAcentral.
CCUACGGGUGGCAGCAGUGAGGAAUAUUGGUCAAUGGACGGAAGUCUGAACCAGCCAUGCCGCGUGCAGGAUGACGGCUCUAUGAGUUGUAAACUGCGAUUGUACGAGAAGAAGAGUUCGUACGUGUAGGGAUUUGAAUGUAUCGUACGAAUAAGGAUCGGCUAACUCCGUGCCAGCAGCCGCGGUAAUACGGAGGAUUCGAGCGUUAUCCGGAUUUAUGGGGGUGAAAGGGUGCGUAGGCUGUUGGAUAAGUUAGAGGUCCAAUGUCGGGGCUUACCCCCGUGCCUGCCUCUGAUACUGUUCGACUAGAGAGCGGCUGCAGCCGGCGGAAUGAGUAUUGUAGCGGU